Papaver somniferum (opium poppy) is the source of this 1227-nucleotide RNA transcript. RefSeq lists it as uncharacterized. Lineage: Eukaryota; Viridiplantae; Streptophyta; Magnoliopsida; Ranunculales; Papaveraceae. The transcript is spliced from 4 exons. The record is from RefSeq and is a predicted model, not a curated record.
AUCAACCUUAUUGUUUCGGGACGCUUUUCUCCGCAAGCUUUUGUUAAAAAAAUUUUGUUUGACGCGUACUUGUGUGUUAUUAUAUUUGUUUAUUUAUUUAUUUGCAGAUCAUCACCAAACAACACCGACAAUCUUCUCUGUCUUUUUAACUCCUGUUAUUUAAUUGCAAGAUGCUGCGUAUCUUUUCUAAAAUCUUAGACCAUACCAGAUUGCCAAAAAUCACACCAUUGGGUAAUAGGUAUACCCGUAUUUUUAUUUUAUUUUUCAUCCCUCUCUUUCUCUGCUAUGAACAAAACAACAACGACCUUUAACGAAUUCUCAUGUUCCUUCUUCAUCACUAGCACCAGAUUCGACUACCGUUUUUUUUCUCACAACCUCCACAAAAGGUCUACUAUUAGCCAUGAUAGCUUCUACAAUGGGUAAGUCGGGUUCCGCUACAAUCAUUUCAUUACACUCUGGUCAGGAGGAGAAAAGGAAAUGCAGCAACCAGAGGGGAAAUGGGGCAAAAAACCGAAUCAAACGGUUUGAUAUACAUAUGAAUCGGGGGUCAACUCAAUUGCCUACGGAGAGGCAUACAACCAAAAAUCAAAGUAAGUACAUUGGAGAAUAUCCCAAGCUCCGCAUAUCAUUCCCUAAGUUCUUUUCCCGUUGAAUUUCCAUUAUUCCACAACCGUUGUGGAAGUGCCUGAAAGGCGAAAAUUAUCCUGUAAAAUUUGGUGCAGUUAGCUGCAGACUCAUAGGUGACCACAUACGUCCUAAUGGUUGCAUCAUACUGUACGUGUCUGUAGUAAUGAUUGGUGGCCUGUCGGCACAUUCAACUUAAUUUUAUAGUUUCAUAAACAAUUAGUUUUAGAAUGGCAGUGAUGGUAGUAUUCGAUGUAUCGAAUUUUGCAUCCGUUGAUCAGUACCAUAAGGAGAAGUCUGUUGCAGAAGUUGCAGAGAUAGGCGUUCAAGUUUGAGUUGAGAAAUGGAAUUUUUGUCUAGACACGAAAAAAUAUGUCUGGUGUAAAAGGAAAAUAAGAAGCAACAUAAAUCGAGCGAAACAACUCUGCCUUUCAGAGCCGUAAAAGAAGGUGGUUCAUCCUAUACAAAUUUGACAGCUUUAGUUGAUGUGCAUGAAAACAUCGACCUAAAUGAUUAAGAGUAUUAUAAAAUCAUGUAACAGUUAUUUUCGAUGUACUUUUUAUAGAUGAAACAGAUCAUGAAUCUACAUGAAACUUGCUAGAA